This 548-nucleotide ribosomal RNA is filed under the name uncultured bacterium. Its description in RNAcentral is "bacterial SSU rRNA". It matches the Rfam family "Bacterial small subunit ribosomal RNA", at positions 355 to 896 of the family's 1533-position model. The record is from RNAcentral.
UGGGGAAUUUUGGACAAUGGGGGCAACCCUGAUCCAGCAAUGCCGCGUGUGUGAAGAAGGCCUUCGGGUUGUAAAGCACUUUUGUCCGGAAAGAAAUGGCUCUGGUUAAUACCCGGAGUCGAUGACGGUACCGGAAGAAUAAGCACCGGCUAACUACGUGCCAGCAGCCGCGGUAAUACGUAGGGUGCGAGCGUUAAUCGGAAUUACUGGGCGUAAAGCGUGCGCAGGCGGUUUUGUAAGACAGGCGUGAAAUCCCCGGGCUCAACCUGGGAAUUGCGCUUGUGACUGCAAGGCUAGAGUACGUCAGAGGGGGGUAGAAUUCCACGUGUAGCAGUGAAAUGCGUAGAGAUGUGGAGGAAUACCGAUGGCGAAGGCAGCCCCCUGGGACGUGACUGACGCUCAUGCACGAAAGCGUGGGGAGCAAACAGGAUUAGAUACCCUGGUAGUCCACGCCCUAAACGAUGUCAACUAGUUGUUGGGGAUUCAUUUCCUCAGUAACGUAGCUAACGCGUGAAGUUGACCGCCUGGGGAGUACGGUCGCAAGAUUA